Molecule: ribosomal RNA, 484 nt
Filed under: uncultured bacterium
Lineage: Bacteria
Description: partial 16S ribosomal RNA
Rfam family: Bacterial small subunit ribosomal RNA
Source: RNAcentral
AUUGAACGCUGGCGGCAGGCCUAACACAUGCAAGUCGAGCGGAUGACGGGAGCUUGCUCCUUGAUUCAGCGGCGGACGGGUGAGUAAUGCCUAGGAAUCUGCCUGGUAGUGGGGGACAACGUUUCGAAAGGAACGCUAAUACCGCAUACGUCCUACGGGAGAAAGCAGGGGACCUUCGGGCCUUGCGCUAUCAGAUGAGCCUAGGUCGGAUUAGCUUGUUGGUGAGGUAAUGGCUCACCAAGGCGACGAUCCGUAACUGGUCUGAGAGGAUGAUCAGUCACACUGGAACUGAGACACGGUCCAGACUCCUACGGGAGGCAGCAGUGGGGAAUAUUGGACAAAGGGCGAAAGCCUGAUCCAGCCAUGCCGCGUGUGUGAAGAAGGUCUUCGGAUUGUAAAGCACUUUAAGUUGGGAGGAAGGGUUGUAGAUUAAUACUCUGCAAUUUUGACGUUACCGACAGAAUAAGCACCGGCUAACUCUGUG